Molecule: long non-coding RNA, 861 nt
Filed under: Lathyrus oleraceus (garden pea)
Lineage: Eukaryota; Viridiplantae; Streptophyta; Magnoliopsida; Fabales; Fabaceae
Description: Pisum sativum (pea) long non-coding RNA (PSAT_LNC035120)
Source: RNAcentral
UAAUUUAACUGACAAUAGAUUUAACUCAUUUACACCUAAUGUCGUUUCAUUUGGGAUUGGCGACGGUUAAGUCUAGCUCCUAAUUUAAUUAUGCAUUUAACUUUGAAUUCAAAUUUCAUUUCAGUUUCAAUCUCUAACAAACUCUGUGAUGACUAAUCGAAAUGUUGAAUUUGAUAACUAACCUUGAAUUUCAACCACAUUUGAUUUGCAUUUGAUAAAUGUAUCGAAAUCAUAUAAGAACCAGACUUCAGCAUAAUGAAGGAGAGAAUAACUGCUCUGGCCAUAUUUUGCUUUCACUGGGAAACUUCAUCUCUGCACUCUGCAAAUUCUUGGCCUCUCUCCUCAUAGAUUCAGCAUACUCCACCGCAUCUCAGAAUGGAGAAUCUAUCAAUCUUCACUCUUCCAUCGUUAUUUUUGAUUCGGCUUACCCUACAAAAAACGUGAAGAAGCUUUCAGAAUCAACCUUCGCACACAGAUUACCACGGUGUCGUCGCAAUUUGUUUCACUCGGUCAAUCUCACAAGCAACAAACAAGAACACAACUUUAUCACGAGAUCUCGAGAGUAGAAAAAGAAGAACCGAAGUAGAAGAGGAGAAGGAAUCGAUACCUGACUCACGUUGGUACUUCAUUCCGGUGAGUUCUUUUUUUUUCUACAAACUGAUUCGUCUCUUUUCAUUUUCGCUUUAACUUUGCACUUAUGUUUCGACGCGAUAGAGAGCCGAAGUGAGUUUUGCAAAUUGUAUGAUGAGUUCGUUGUUGAUUCACCGUGCUCACCAUUAGCUGGCAUCAAUUUCGCGUGUGAUAAAGAGGAUGCACGGAGCUGACGCGGCGGAGAUUGCUCGGAGCCGGUACGGCGUAAAC